Molecule: transfer RNA, 72 nt
Filed under: Sphaerodactylus townsendi
Lineage: Eukaryota; Metazoa; Chordata; Lepidosauria; Squamata; Sphaerodactylidae
Description: tRNA-Ala
Rfam family: tRNA
About the family: Transfer RNA (tRNA) molecules are approximately 80 nucleotides in length. Their secondary structure includes four short double-helical elements and three loops (D, anti-codon, and T loops). Further hydrogen bonds mediate the characteristic L-shaped molecular structure. tRNAs have two regions of fundamental functional importance: the anti-codon, which is responsible for specific mRNA codon recognition, and the 3' end, to which the tRNAs corresponding amino acid is attached (by aminoacyl-tRNA synthetases). tRNAs cope with the degeneracy of the genetic code in two manners: having more than one tRNA (with a specific anti-codon) for a particular amino acid; and 'wobble' base-pairing, i.e. permitting non-standard base-pairing at the 3rd anti-codon position.
Source: RNAcentral
GGGUCUGUGGCUCAGUGGCAGAGCAUUGGCUUGGCAUGCAGGAGGUCCCAGGUUCGAUUCCCAACACCUCCA